AUUGAACGCUGGCGGCAUGCUUUACACAUGCAAGUCGAACGGCAGCACGGGCUUCGUCCUGGUGGCGAGUUGCGGACGGGUGAGUAAUAUACCGGAACGUACCCAGACGUGGGGGCUAACGUAACUAAAGGUACGCUAAUAUCGCAUACGAUCUAAUGUUGAAAGCAGGGGACCGCAAGUCCUUGUGCUUCUGGAGCUGCCGAUGUUACAUUAGCUAGCUGGUAAGGUAAAGGCGUACCAAGGCGACGAUCAAUAGCUGAUCUGAGAGGGCGACCGGCCACACUGGAACUGAGACACGGUCCAGACUCCUACGGGAGGCAGCAGUAGGGAAUCUUCCGCAAGGGGCUAAAGCCUGACGGAGCAACGCCGCGUGAGUGAUGACGGUCUUCGGAUCGUAAAACUCUGUUAUUAGGGAAGAACAUAUGUGUAAGUAACUGUGCACAUCUUGACGGUACCUAAUCAGAAAGCCACGGCUAACUACGUG
RNAcentral lists this ribosomal RNA (484 nucleotides) under uncultured bacterium. RNAcentral describes it as "partial 16S ribosomal RNA". It matches the Rfam family "Bacterial small subunit ribosomal RNA", at positions 30 to 507 of the family's 1533-position model. The record is from RNAcentral.